This 72-nucleotide transfer RNA is filed under the name Callorhinchus milii (elephant shark). RNAcentral describes it as "tRNA-Leu (CAA) (tRNA-Leu-CAA-11-1)". It matches the Rfam family "tRNA". Rfam says of the family: Transfer RNA (tRNA) molecules are approximately 80 nucleotides in length. Their secondary structure includes four short double-helical elements and three loops (D, anti-codon, and T loops). Lineage: Eukaryota; Metazoa; Chordata; Chondrichthyes; Chimaeriformes; Callorhinchidae. The record is from RNAcentral.
UCCCUGAUGGUCCCGUGGUUAGGAUUCGGCGCUCAAACCGCCGCGGCCCCGGUUUGAUUCCCGGUCAGGGAA